Felis catus (domestic cat) is the source of this 1443-nucleotide long non-coding RNA. RefSeq lists it as uncharacterized. The record is from RefSeq and is a predicted model, not a curated record. Lineage: Eukaryota; Metazoa; Chordata; Mammalia; Carnivora; Felidae. The transcript has 5 exons.
ACUUAUUUUUGAGAGAGAGAACGUGGUCUCACAGUGGAGCAAAGGCAGGAGAGAAAGAAAGAGAGAAUCCCAAACAGGCCCAAGCAAGCUUCUUGCCAGCUGGAUCUCACAAAGUGUCAGAUCAUGACCUGAGCCCAAAUCAGGCAGCCUGGUAAAUUAUCCUUUUGUGAUAACUGUUAUAACAUGAAUGUGGUAUUAUAAGUACCUUAGAGCAAGGAGCCUUAAUGGAGAUCAAGGCUAAAACUUGCACAUACUUCAAGAUCAAGGACUGAUGAAAAAGUACAAGAUAGAAGACAGGAGAAUUGACCAAACUGUAGUUCAGGGUCCAGAGGGCACAGGAAAAACUCCAUUUUAAUAUGGUAUUAAUUGGGGCAACCUCCAGGUAGACAGAGCACAGUACACAAGAAUUUAGAUAGAAUUAUCUUUCAGAACACUGGUAAUGGGGACUAGUAAAUGUCUUUUCACAGCAGAAAUCCUGCAGAAAAGCAGGGUCUGUUCAUGUUCUUACUCUGUGAAUGAAACUAAAAGGCCAGCUAGGUCAACUGAUCAGGAUUUCAGAGAGGAAUCCUUGGCAGAAUCUAAGUCCAGAUGACUAGGUCAUAAUACUCUGCAUGAGCUGUCUUUGAUCUGGGAACUACACAGACACCAAGGUUCCAUCCCAUGCGCAAAUGUGAUAGCAAGACUAUUAAGGUGCUUGUAUGCCACUGUCCUUGUCACUGGGCUACCAAGUCCCAGGUUUACAAAGUGAACCAAUUCUGAGCCCAUUUUAAUGGUAAGAAUGGUAAGCAGAAGGUGUGUGUGGAGAGGCACCACUUACCCAGUAACUGAGGUUGCACAGAACUGACAUCAAUCCUUGCUCCACAUUUUACUAGCCGAGCAACUUUGGAAAUGCCUCUUAUUAAAUCCCUGAUGGCUUGCUUUCACAAUAUAGCCUGACUUUGGGUCGGCUUCCUAAAAUGAGACACAACUGUUAAACUGAACUGACCGAUUUCUCAAGACUGAGACUGCUUCAGUGAGAUAUGGAGCAAUCUGUCAACUUAGCUUCUGGAUUGUGAAACUUCUUAUUUGAAAUUCCAAAGGAGGAACUGAAAGGGAGCAGCUUUUGCCACCUCAAAAUAUGUCUCUUUGGCAUAUUGAUUAUUUUAAAGUGGGUUAAGCCAUUUGAAGCAGUCAAGAGAUCUGUUACAUGGACCUAUUGAGAGCUUGAUGCAUUCGUCUGGCUUCUUUAUGAUCUGACAUACUUAUGGCCUUUGUGGUGAGUGUCAAGAAAGCCAUUUUGGCAUCAAUACUCCAUCUCAGGAGGCAACCAUACCACCUCAACAGUCCUCUCCACUCUCUUGCUCUGAGCUCUCCAGUUCUUAUGAUCGUCCACGUUGAACUCAAUCUGUCAAAUUUCAGUACCUAGCAGUCUCUUGCCACCAGAAUUACACCACUAUAAAGAGA